CCUGCUGCAACGUGAACGUGCGGUCUGCUGCAAACGGGAGCGAGUUUAUUGCUUCUGGACGGAAAAUGUUUGUGCAAGCUUGUGAUUUCAGCGAUUCUACAUCCAGAACAAAUUGUUUAAACACAGUCACAACAACAACAACUAUAUAUUGUGUUUGUUCAAAUGUGUAUAAAUGAGCUAGUUACUUACUCUUAUUAGGACGGAAGUAUUGUAUGUACUCUUACUAUAUUGUGAUUAUCGAACUGUGUACAUGGACAUAUUUUAGUAAACGUUGCUCUGAAGUUAUUGUAUAUUUUAUCUGCUCUUACUGCAUUGUGAAAUAUGUAUAUUUUGUGAGAGCUGUAAGUCGCCCUGAGUGAGGGCGUCUGCUAAGAAAAUGAAUAAGAAAAAGAGGAAGAAAACAAAACGCAACGGAAUUAUUUCUUAAAUCGUGAAGUCACGCCCGUGACGAGGACAAUAGAAACAGGUCAUCUUAACGAAGAUUAUGGAUCCAACAAUGUACAGGGAAAUAUUACUGUACAAGACAAUGGGAAAAUACCCCGAGAAGGCCAGGAAGGGGGGAAAAUUCAUCAUCCGGAGGCGUGCAGGACAAUAUGUGGUUCAAGAUGGAGAGCUCUAUUAUAUAUGUAAGAAGGGUACAGAGCCAUCAAUGAAGGUGAAGGUGGUCAAAGGCACUGAAGAGGCAGACAGUCUCUUCCUGGAAUUUCAUGCAAGUGCUAUAGGGGCACACUGUGGCCAACACAGAACCAGAGAGGCAAUUUCCUCCAGAUAUUACUGGCCUGGAAUGAGUUCCGAUAUUGAUAAUUGGGUGGGUGCUUUUUGAGUGCAGUACAUGACCUACACCAGUAUCCAAUACAAUAACUAGAGAGAUCAAUCGGUUUUUGGUUAUAAAAAUUAAUAAAUGAAAAGGAAGUUUAAACAACAGCUCAACUGAGUUUUCUUAACAUUGAAAAAUCUUACACUGUGUUAUAAACUUUAAAAACAUUUUUAUGCAAGUGCCAUCCUGUUAGAGGCUAUGAGACUGACACCAGCUGUUUGCUAUAUACCUGGUAACAUUUCAUUAAAUUAACAAAAAUAUUUUCCAAUAAUUCACAGUUUGGUAACAUAAUAUGAAAGCGACAUGUCGUGGAAUUCUAAAUAAAAGGAAGAGAGACUGCGAGUUCCAAACACACAGGCCUUUAUUUCUUAAGUUUGCAAACUGAAAACACUCUCAACACACAGGGUGCUAGAUAAUCAUCGAGCAGUGUUUCAACAUACAGAGUUAGAUCAGUUUCUUAUAUACCUUAAAACUGUCAGCAAGGCAGAGGGUUAGCCAAUGAUGAUUCAGAUAUUAGCAUAUAAGGAAAAACAACUUAUAACUGUGCAUACCUGGCAUAUAGCUAAGCAAACAGAUAACAGGAUGGGUGGUUUGGGUGUACGUACAAAGAAACAAGUCUGGCUCAUCCUGUUAUCUUCACAGCCACAGCUGCAGUGUAGGCAUCUUGCGGUUCCUUGUAACAAACUUUAUCUUAGGCAAAGCAUACAAGGUUAUGCGAGCAAGGUUAUAGGAGUACAAAAUGCCAGUACAUUAUGUCGAGCCAAUUCUAUUUUUCUGUAACAUAUUCUAUUAAAAGCUGCCGUCCCGAGAGCCAGAGGGGGUGGAGCUGCCGUCCCGAGAGCCAGAGGGGGUGGAGCUGCCGUCCCGAUAGCCAAAGGGGGUGGAGCUGCUGUCCCAAGAGCCAGAGGGGGUGGAGCUGCAGUCCCGAGAGCCAGAGGGGGUGGAGCUGCCGCCGCCCGAGCAAGAGGGGGAAGAGGUGAAGAGCCCGCCGGCACCACAGCCCCGACCACCACCCCUGCGGUCCAGUCCGGCACCGCCGCUGUGUGCGGUCCCUCGCCCCUUGCUCCUGGACACCCUUCCGGUUUGCUUGGACCUCCCUUCGCUAGACCUGGAGCCCAGGAGUCUGCAGAACCGGUCACAGUUCUCCACCUGGUUCCAUGCUCCGCUCCUCCCAAGCACCAAGACGUCGCUGCGCAGCUCCCAGACGGCGCUUGAGCUCCCCCUGGUCACUACUUUGCUCCCCCUGGGUGAUUGGACGUCCCCCUGACAAACCGGUGGGGUCCCUCGUCACAGGUGCGCGGUCCCUACCUGGCGGGGCCAGAACAUGGACCGGCCCACCCUCAAGUCCGCCCAUGGAAGAGGGCGAAAAGAGACAUUGAUGGACUCGAGGGUGGGUGGUUGUGUUUUAGGGGAGGAGGUGGCCGACGAAUGGCCGGUGUCUUGAAAAGACAAGGGGGGGGGAUAUGUGAGACAGCAGGGAGGGGGUUAAAGCCUCCCUGAAGAAAAACAUGUGCGGAAUGCACAUUUGUUUAGUUUAUUUGUUUUUGUUUAUUGUUUAAUUGAUUUGCUUUAUCGUUGAAUUUAAUUUGUUAAUUGUUUUAUUAUUAAUUAUCCCCUGCACCUGGUAAAUAUUGUCAAAUUAGGACCAGGUGCAGGGUAUUUAAGGGAGGCAGUUAGUCUGCUCAUGGCUGCUGAAUAGAAGGAGGCAGAAGAGGUGCUCUGCUUCCGAGCAGUCAGGAGGAAACGUAAGCGGUGUAAACCUGUGUGAUAUGGUCUGUUUGUGGUGUUGUGUUUGGUGGGGUGUCAGGGUGUUCCCGAAAGUUUAGUCAGUGCUCAGAAAGAGCUAGGUGUUUAUUUUGUUUUGUUUGUAUUAAAAAUAGCGCGUCAGCGCGGGAAAAAAAAUCCAUUCCUGUGUCUUGGGUCGUGGUU
This is a long non-coding RNA of Acipenser ruthenus (sterlet), 2746 nucleotides long. RefSeq lists it as uncharacterized. Lineage: Eukaryota; Metazoa; Chordata; Actinopteri; Acipenseriformes; Acipenseridae. The record is from RefSeq and is a predicted model, not a curated record. The transcript has 4 exons.